UACAGAGGCCUCGAGCGUUAGGCGGAAUCACUGGGCUUAAAGCGUGUGUAGGCGGACUUCUAAGUACCUUGUGAAAUCCCACAGCUUAACUGUGGAACUGCUUGGUAUACUGGUUGUCUUGAGGUACCUAGGGGCGAGCGGAACAAGUGGUGGAGCGGUGAAAUGCGUAGAUAUCACUUGGAACGCCAACGGUGAAAACAGCUCGCUGGGGGUAUCCUGACGCUGAGGCGCGAAAGCUAGGGGAGCAAACGGG
This 253-nucleotide ribosomal RNA is filed under the name uncultured bacterium. Its description in RNAcentral is "partial 16S ribosomal RNA". It matches the Rfam family "Bacterial small subunit ribosomal RNA", at positions 524 to 776 of the family's 1533-position model. The record is from RNAcentral.